MicroRNA precursor from Nicotiana attenuata, 96 nucleotides. It matches the Rfam family "MIR6152 microRNA precursor family". Lineage: Eukaryota; Viridiplantae; Streptophyta; Magnoliopsida; Solanales; Solanaceae. The record is from Rfam.
UGGACAGAUUAUUGUAUUCGACUGUAUUCACGGCGUGAAACAGGGGAUUAUACUAUUUUUAAAUGGAAAGUGAAUCAAUUAACAUAAUAGACUCCU